Cubamyces lactineus is the source of this 96-nucleotide non-coding RNA. Lineage: Eukaryota; Fungi; Basidiomycota; Agaricomycetes; Polyporales; Polyporaceae. The record is from the annotation of a GenBank genome assembly.
UGCCCCGUGGCUGAGUUGGUUACAGCGUCCGACUGUUAUCAUUCAUUACGAUGAAGAUUCAUCGGAAGGUCGUGAGUUCGAGCCUCACCGGGGCAG